RNAcentral lists this unclassified non-coding RNA (253 nucleotides) under uncultured Pirellulaceae bacterium. RNAcentral's name for it is "contains 16S-23S intergenic spacer region". It matches the Rfam family "Bacterial small subunit ribosomal RNA", at positions 524 to 776 of the family's 1533-position model. The record is from RNAcentral. Lineage: Bacteria; Pseudomonadati; Planctomycetota; Planctomycetia; Pirellulales; Pirellulaceae.
GACGAACCGUACAAACGUUACUCGGAAUUACUGGGCUUAAAGGGUGCGUAGGCUGCGCGGAAAGUUGGAUGUGAAAUCCCUCAGCUCAACUGGGGAAUUGCAUUCAAAACUGCCGUGCUAGAGGGAGACAGAGGUAAGCGGAACUCAAGGUGGAGCGGUGAAAUGCGUUGAUAUCUUGAGGAACACCGGUGGCGAAGGCGGCUUACUGGGUCUCUUCUGACGCUGAGGCACGAAAGCUAAGGUAGCAAACGGG